GCCUUCGUGGUGUAGUGGUCAGCACACUCGGCGCGUAUUCGAGAGGUCCGUGGUUCGAGUCCAGUCGAGGGCA
This 73-nucleotide transfer RNA is filed under the name Stegodyphus mimosarum. It matches the Rfam family "tRNA". Rfam says of the family: Transfer RNA (tRNA) molecules are approximately 80 nucleotides in length. Lineage: Eukaryota; Metazoa; Arthropoda; Arachnida; Araneae; Eresidae. The record is from Rfam by way of RNAcentral.